This 336-nucleotide ribosomal RNA is filed under the name uncultured Acidobacteriota bacterium. RNAcentral describes it as "bacterial SSU rRNA". It matches the Rfam family "Bacterial small subunit ribosomal RNA", at positions 32 to 351 of the family's 1533-position model. Lineage: Bacteria; Pseudomonadati; Acidobacteriota. The record is from RNAcentral.
AAUCAACGCUGGCGGCGUGCCUAACACAUGCAAGUCGAACGCGAAAGUCCCGCAAGGGAUAAGUAGAGUGGCAAACGGGUGAGUAACGCGUGGGCGACCUACCUUCGAGUGGGGGAUAACAUUCCGAAAGGAGUGCUAAUACCGCAUGACAUCCUGCGUUUAGAUACGCGGAGAUCAAAGCCGGGGAUCGUAAGACCUGGCGCUUGAAGAGGGGCCUGCGUCCGAUUAGCUAGUUGGCGAGGUAAUGGCUCACCAAGGCUCCGAUCGGUAUCCGGCCUGAGAGGGCGGACGGACACACUGGAACUGAGACACGGUCCAGACUCCUACGGGAGGCAG